UACGUAGGGUGCGAGCGUUAAUCGGAAUUACUGGGCGUAAAGCGUGCGCAGGCGGUUCGUCAUGUCCGAUGUGAAAGCCCCGGGCUCAACCUGGGAAUGGCAUUGGAAACUGGCGGACUAGAGUGUGGCAGAGGGGGGUGGAAUUCCGCGUGUAGCAGUGAAAUGCGUAGAGAUGCGGAGGAACACCGAUGGCGAAGGCAGCCCCCUGGGCUAACACUGACGCUCAGGCACGAAAGCGUGGGGAGCAAACAGG
This 253-nucleotide ribosomal RNA is filed under the name uncultured bacterium. RNAcentral describes it as "partial 16S ribosomal RNA". It matches the Rfam family "Bacterial small subunit ribosomal RNA", at positions 524 to 776 of the family's 1533-position model. The record is from RNAcentral.